UGAGCCUACGGGGGGCAGCAGUGGGGAAUAUUGCACAAUGGGGGGAACCCUGAUGCAGCGACGCCGCGUGAGUGAAGAAGUAUUUCGGUAUGUAAAUCUCUAUCAGCAGGGAAGAAGAUGACGGUACCUGACUAAGAAGCCCCGGCUAACUACGUGCCAGCAGCCGCGGUAAUACGUAGGGGGCAAGCGUUAUCCGGAUUUAUUGGGUUUAAAGGGUGCGUAGGCGGACAGUCAAGUCAGCGGUAAAAAUGCGGUGCUCAACCCCGUACUGCCGUUGAAACUGCAUCCCUUGAGUGCGCGAGAAG
RNAcentral lists this ribosomal RNA (305 nucleotides) under uncultured bacterium. RNAcentral's name for it is "bacterial SSU rRNA". It matches the Rfam family "Bacterial small subunit ribosomal RNA", at positions 334 to 657 of the family's 1533-position model. The record is from RNAcentral.